RNAcentral lists this ribosomal RNA (274 nucleotides) under uncultured bacterium. RNAcentral's name for it is "partial 16S ribosomal RNA". It matches the Rfam family "Archaeal small subunit ribosomal RNA", at positions 473 to 747 of the family's 1478-position model. The record is from RNAcentral.
AAACCAGCACCUCAAGUGGUCAGGAGGAUUAUUGGGCCUAAAGCAUCCGUAGCCUGUUCUGUAAGUUUUCGGUUAAAUCCAUUAGCUCAACUAAUGGGCUGCCGAAAAUACUGCAGAACUAGGGAGUGGGAGAGGUAGACGGUAUUCGGUAGGAAGGGGUAAAAUCCUUUGAUCUAUUGAGGACCACCUGUGGCGAAGGCGGUCUACCAGAACACGUUCGACGGUGAGGGAUGAAAGCUGGGGGAGCAAACAGGAUUAGAAACCCGAGUAGUCC